UACGGAGGGUGCAAGCGUUAUCCGGAUUUACUGGGUUUAAAGGGUCCGCAGGCGGGCCGUUUAGUCAGUGGUGAAAUCCCGAGGCUCAACCUCGGAACUGCCAUUGAUACUGACGGUCUUGAGUUCGGUUGCGGUUGGCGGAAUGAGUCAUGUAGCGGUGAAAUGCGUAGAUAUGACUCAGAACACCGAUUGCGAAGGCAGCUGACCAAGCCGACACUGACGCUGAGGGACGAAAGCGUGGGGAGCGAACAGG
This 253-nucleotide ribosomal RNA is filed under the name uncultured bacterium. RNAcentral's name for it is "partial 16S ribosomal RNA". It matches the Rfam family "Bacterial small subunit ribosomal RNA", at positions 524 to 776 of the family's 1533-position model. The record is from RNAcentral.